UACGAAGGGGGCUAGCGUUGCUCGGAAUGACUGGGCGUAAAGGGCGCGUAGGCGGCGAUCAAGGUCAGAUGUGAAAUUCCUGGGCUUAACCUGGGGGCUGCAUUUGAUACGUGGUGGCUUGAGUGCGGAAGAGGGUCGUGGAAUUCCCAGUGUAGAGGUGAAAUGCGUAGAUAUCAAGAGGAACACCUGAGGUGAAGACGGGUUGCUGGGCUGACACUGACGCUGAGGCGCGAAAGCUAGGGUAGCAAACGGG
This 253-nucleotide ribosomal RNA is filed under the name uncultured bacterium. RNAcentral's name for it is "partial 16S ribosomal RNA". It matches the Rfam family "Bacterial small subunit ribosomal RNA", at positions 524 to 776 of the family's 1533-position model. The record is from RNAcentral.